This 441-nucleotide ribosomal RNA is filed under the name uncultured bacterium. RNAcentral's name for it is "partial 16S ribosomal RNA". It matches the Rfam family "Bacterial small subunit ribosomal RNA", at positions 338 to 795 of the family's 1533-position model. The record is from RNAcentral.
CCUACGGGUGGCUGCAGUCGAGAAUCUUCCGCAAUGGGCGCAAGCCUGACGGAGCAAUGCCGCGUGAAGGAUGAAGGUCUUUGGAUUGUAAACUUCUGUCACCGGGGACGAAGUAUGACGGUACCCGGGGAGGAAGCCACGGCUAACUACGUGCGAGCAGCCGCGGUAAGACGGAGGGGGCGAGCGUGGUUCGGAAUUAUGGGGCGUAAAGGGUUCGUAGGAUGUUUUUUAAGAUUGGUGUGAAAUCCCAGGGCUCAACCCUUGAACUGCAUUGAUGCCUGAGAGACUAGAGUAUCGUAGAGGAAAGCGGAAUACCAGGUGUAGCGGUGGAAUGCGUAGAUAUCUGGUAGAACACCGACAGCGAAGGCAGCUUUCUGGGCGAUUACUGACUCUGAGGAACGAACGCGUGGGUAGCAAACAGGAUUAGAUACCCGUGUAGUC